Molecule: ribosomal RNA, 118 nt
Filed under: Bacillus paralicheniformis
Lineage: Bacteria; Bacillati; Bacillota; Bacilli; Caryophanales; Bacillaceae
Description: partial 16S ribosomal RNA
Rfam family: Bacterial small subunit ribosomal RNA
Source: RNAcentral
UUCAUGGAGAGUUUGAUCCUGGCUCAGGACGAACGCUGGCGGCGUGCCUAAUACAUGCAAGUCGAGCGGACAGAUGGGAGCUUGCUCCCUGAUGUUAGCGGCGGACGGGUGAGUAACA